Long non-coding RNA from Melopsittacus undulatus (budgerigar), 1206 nucleotides. RefSeq lists it as uncharacterized. The transcript is spliced from 3 exons. Lineage: Eukaryota; Metazoa; Chordata; Aves; Psittaciformes; Psittaculidae. The record is from RefSeq and is a predicted model, not a curated record.
AACCUCUGUGUCGGCUGGUUAUCCUCCUCCUCCAUGUUCAAGACUAUUUGGAUCAAAACUUACCUUGCUCAAUAGGCUGCUGCAAAUAAUGCAAGGUUGUUUUUUCAGCUGGUUAGGCUGAUGUGUUUGAACUGCUGCAUGAGAGACUUCCUGCUGCUUUGCCAUUUGGGAAACUGUGCUGGGAGUUUCUGGAGCACAGACUUGCAGGGCAAUUCCUGCUGUCAAAGCUGCAGCUGGAAGAUUUGGCAGUAGGUAGAGCUUGUUCUUUUCAUGUCUGGCUCUGCCGGCAGCCAUGGUGAGGCUUUUGUUGAAGCUGAUCCUAAUCACGGAAUGCAAGGCAGCUUCUGGGACAAAGUCUUAAUGCUUUUGGGAGUUUGCUUUCCAGCCUGGCAAUCACCCAUUCACAGCACUUACUCAAACCUUUUCAGUAAUCUCUCUCCUCUGCCAGGAGUUGUCUCAGUAUUUGUGAGUGCUGUUUCUGCUCAAUCUAAUUUUAGAGUAUGCUAAUAACAAAGUUAUUUACUGUGCUGGCAUUACCGUACACUUUGUGUCUCAUGAACCCAAAGAUUAUGUGUCCAUUACAUCUCCUUAAUUCUCUUUGUCAUUGUCAGUGUGGUUCCAAUCAUAAACUUUGCUUAGCAGUGAAUGGUUGGUUGUGGAAAAAUACCCCAAACAACAGAACAAAACGAACGAAGAACUCAACUGCCAACAGUUACUUUCAGGACUCUUAAAUGGAAUUCUACCCAUCAACCUGCAGAACAUCUCUGGGGCUGUAAAAAAGGAAUGAAAAUUUCCUCAUUUGAAGCUGGGCUUGACUGACAGCUUUAUUAUCUGGAUAAGUGAUUGCUGGGGACACUGGAGGGCACUGAAGUUUAUGGAAAGAGGAACGCCAUAAUGAAGCUUUAUUGGGAUGGCAUCACCAAACAAUUGCUGUGAUAGCAACACUCCCAAGCUUGGAGAAGUGCCAGACGUUUCCCCCCUGGAACUGACUCAGACACUACCCUCUCUGGCUCAGGACUGACGCAGAAAAUGGAUGCUUUCUGGCUCAUAAAAUGGCCUCUUUCCGGCUUGGAAAUCACUGAGGAACUGUCCACUUUGGGUUUAGGAAGAACUUGGGAACUGGUCUUUCUCCAUUGAACAAUGACUUUGAAAUGCACCUUUCUUUUGCUUGAUUCUGUCUUGAAACUAUAAAAGUGUUUGUUUAAA